GCAGUAGCCGCGGUAAUACAGAGGGUGCGAGCGUUAAUCGGAUUUACUGGGCGUAAAGCGUGCGUAGGCGGCUAAUUGAGUCGGAUGUGAAAUCCCCGAGCUUAACUUGGGAAUUGCAUUCGAUACUGGUUAGCUAGAGUGUGGGAGAGGAUGGUAGAAUUCCAGGUGUAGCGGUGAAAUGCGUAGAGAUCUGGAGGAAUACCGAUGGCGAAGGCAGCCAUCUGGCCUAACACUGACGCUGAGGUACGAAAGCAUGGGGAGCAAACAGGAUUAGAUACCCGUGUAGUCCCUGUCUCUUAUAA
Molecule: ribosomal RNA, 302 nt
Filed under: uncultured bacterium
Lineage: Bacteria
Description: partial 16S ribosomal RNA
Rfam family: Bacterial small subunit ribosomal RNA
Source: RNAcentral